AUCCACCUGAUGAGUCCCAAAUAGAACGAAACGUGCUUCCUGGAU
Schistosoma mattheei is the source of this 45-nucleotide non-coding RNA. The record is from Rfam. NCBI's taxonomy places the organism in Eukaryota, Metazoa, Platyhelminthes, Trematoda, Strigeidida, Schistosomatidae.